GGCAGCAACUGGAAGAUGUCGUAGAUCUGCAUUUUUCAAACAUAUAAGAACAUCAGCUGUUAUUUAAAACAAGAUCAAUUCAUCUGGUGAGUGCAAGUAGGUCAAAUGAAGGUAAAGGGGUUUUAAAAUAUGGAAAAGUAGUGAGACAUAACAUGCAUGAAACAUGUACAUGAGAGGGCAACAAAAA
Molecule: long non-coding RNA, 187 nt
Organism: Medicago truncatula (barrel medic)
Lineage: Eukaryota; Viridiplantae; Streptophyta; Magnoliopsida; Fabales; Fabaceae
Exons: 2
Source: RefSeq, a predicted model, not a curated record